GUUAUUAUUUACAUAAAGGUCAUUCCUGGACCUAUCAAGAAAUCAUUACGGAAGCCCUCGUCGUUCUGUGGUUCAGCAGUCAAAUCUCUCUGAAAUUUGGGAUGCGUUCCUUUCCGGGAUGGCGAACGAAUAGGGCAGAUCCUAACGCUCCGCUGCUACUGGACGAAAUCCUCGAAUUCUUUGGACAGCCAAUGAACGACUGUGUGUGGGAUGAGGUGCUCUCUCCAUGGGAACCCACUUCCGCUAUACCAACGUCCCUCGGCGAAGCCCCUUCUGAGAGCGUCUGCCCACCAGUUUCCACUAUGGGAUGCACGGGCACCGUCGCCAUGGUAUGCUCCAGCGCCAUCUUAGCUGUGGCCGUGUGCUGUUCGCUGUACAUCAACCGGAACUGGACGUGUUCGCCCUGGCGUUGGCAGUAUCACUUCCACCAUUGUCAACAGCUGACAGCGAAUUUUGGUUACACAGUGUCUACGACAUUCCGUCGUGCGUUGCAACGGUCUUGCGCGUUCUGGCGCUGCUGGUCGGAUUGGGUUGCGUUGCCGCGGUGUGGCUAGUUGUUUGCGCAUUACCGGUUGUUAUCUUAGCGGCGACCAUCGUUGUGACAAUGGCUAAAAUACACGGCACACUCGCCGCUUUCCCUUCCUGUGUCAUCGCUUUAUGUUUGCUGACACUGCAUUGCCUAGGGAGACUGUUAGGAUUGUGGAUGGAUCGGUCUUAUUUAGCACCGGUUUAUGAGAAAAUUCAAAGAAUGCUCAUGCUGACAAGGAAGAUGUCCAAAUAUCACGAUCUGGAAGCCGAUGCCGGAAAUGAGUCGGGAAGACAACCACCACAUCUACACGCGUUGUGCGUGGAGUGCGCGCGGCUUUCGCUCUGGGCUGCUUGGUCGUAAUGGUCCACUCCUACCAUAUGUUUACUGAAUUUCCUCCAAUAGCUUUCCUGCUAAGACGGGUGCUGCCCGAUCGAGAAGUGUGGAUGAUGGAUAACGGGACAAAGCAUUGCGCCAGCGAGACAACCGUACCAAAUACACUGCAAAUACAAAUCACUGUCGCAAUUUCUGUGACCUUAUCGGCUAACUUACACCGGCGCGAUGACAUCAUAUUGGACAACAAAAGGGCAAUUGGAUUUAAAUACCUGCGAUGAGUUUUUUCAGUUCUGUUUGUCAGUGAUGCCGGGUUGUUUUUUGAUGGUGGGCAGCUUAGGGCUUCUGAUUGCCAGCGGUGUUUCAGCUGCGCGUUUCCCAGCAGAACGCUAUGGCUUGAAAUUUCUGGCCUAUUUGAUGGAGUGUUUUGGCCAUGACGAGACCGCUGAAUCCGACACAGAACGAUCGCCACGCACUCGUCUGAUCGACAGGGAAUCGCGUGCCAGUCCAAGAGGAAAGCAAGUUUCCGGGGAAAUCCAAGAAAGCAACAGUGCAUGGAUUUUUACUGAUUCACAGUAUGAACCAGCCGACAGGGACGCACCAAACGCAGCGGACGUGUCACCCGAUGUUAGCGAAGAAUAUUCGUGCAUGUGUUACCCACUAGGCAAUCUGGUCCUCGACAGUCUCUGGCUGAUCCGCUGGGCAGGCAGUUGGAUGUUCCUCCAGUUCCCACUGGCCGAAUUUCUCUUGUUUGAGCGCCUGCAGUUGCCAGCACUCCUGGUGUUUCUCGGGGAAUACUUUGUGUGGAUAAAUACGAUGAGCCGUAACAAGCAGACGGCUGAAUUCCCUAGUCUGCCAGCUAAGAAAGAUGCCCUUGUGGAAGACGACGUCCAGGAUGGCGGGAAGGCUGGUAACCGAAAAGCCAAAUUUCCAACAUGCUCCGUAUGCGGGUUCAUCUCCACGUUUUGGAAAGAUAUGCCGGAUGGGGGAAAUAAAACUGUCAGCACGAGUACCACUGAUCUACGGGACAUGAUUUACCGAGCGCAGUACACGGUGAAAUACGCGAAGGAGCCGGCUUUUUUUAAUAUUGAAUACUACAUGCAAUAACGUUAAGGAUCGACGGGACGCCAAUAAUCCAGCUGCAGAUAAGAUGUACACAUUUUAUUCU
Molecule: RNA transcript, 2027 nt
Organism: Paramacrobiotus metropolitanus
Lineage: Eukaryota; Metazoa; Tardigrada; Eutardigrada; Parachela; Macrobiotidae
Exons: 5
Source: RefSeq, a predicted model, not a curated record